AACGAACGCUGGCGGCAUGCCUAACACAUGCAAGUCGAACGAGACCUUCGGGUCUAGUGGCGCACGGGUGCGUAACGCGUGGGAACCUGCCCUUAGGUUCGGAAUAACUCCCCGAAAGGGGUGCUAAUACCGGAUAAUGUCUUCGGACCAAAGAUUUAUCGCCUUUGGAUGGGCCCGCGUUGGAUUAGCUAGUUGGUAGGGUAAAAGCCUACCAAGGCGACGAUCCAUAGCUGGUCUGAGAGGAUGAUCAGCCACACUGGGACUGAGACACGGCCCAGACUCCGACGGGAGGGAGCAGUGGGGAAUAUUGGACAAGGGGCGAAAGCCUGAUCCAGCAAUGCCGCGUGAGUGAUGAAGGCCUUAGGGUUGUAAAGCUCUUUUACCCGGGAUGAUAAUGACAGUACCGGGAGAAUAAGCUCCGGCUAACUCCGUG
This 433-nucleotide ribosomal RNA is filed under the name uncultured bacterium. Its description in RNAcentral is "partial 16S ribosomal RNA". It matches the Rfam family "Bacterial small subunit ribosomal RNA", at positions 29 to 507 of the family's 1533-position model. The record is from RNAcentral.